UACAGAGGGUGCGAGCGUUAAUCGGAAUUACUGGGCGUAAAGGGCGCGUAGGUGGUUGACUAAGUUAGAUGUGAAAUGUCUGGGCUUAACCUGGAUUAGUCAUUUAAUACUGGUUGGCUAGAGUACAGUAGAGGGUAGUGGAAUUUCCAGUGUAGCGGUGAAAUGCGUAGAUAUUGGAAGGAACACCAGUGGCGAAGGCGGCUACCUGGACUGAUACUGACACUGAGGCGCGAAAGCGUGGGGAGCGAACAGG
Molecule: ribosomal RNA, 253 nt
Filed under: uncultured bacterium
Lineage: Bacteria
Description: partial 16S ribosomal RNA
Rfam family: Bacterial small subunit ribosomal RNA
Source: RNAcentral